This is a non-coding RNA of Danio rerio (zebrafish), 567 nucleotides long. NCBI's taxonomy places the organism in Eukaryota, Metazoa, Chordata, Actinopteri, Cypriniformes, Danionidae. The record is from Ensembl.
AUGAACGCGCGGCAUUUGCAAACACGUGCUAAUGACGCAAUCAAUUGGAGACGCCUUUUCCCGCGAACUCAUCUCAUCUCUCCUGGGAGAGCAGUCUUUAUAGGAAACAUGCCCUUUGUCUUCAUGCUGGGAUUAAGAAAAAACAGAAAGCGUAAAAUACCUCAAGAGGAUGCAGAACAUUACAUUUGUUGUAAAAGUGACAAACCUGCAAGUGCAAUUCAUCAACAAUUACAAAGGAGGAUGAGUUUUCACCACUGAAGCUUUAUUCAGAGGGGAUUUUGUUCUUGAUUACAAGUUUGGGUGCAUGGAUGCAUCGAAAGAAGAUGGGUCUUAAGGGAGACUUGUAAAUGAUGACCACAAAGCUCCUAACUGCAAAAUGAAAAUCAUAUCUUUGCUGUGUGCAACAUACUUCCAGGAGAAGAUAUAACCUACAAUUAUGGAGAUUCUGGUUAUGUCCCAUAAUGUUCUGUCUCCUCACCUGCUUUGGACAACGUGAAGAUGAGUGAUCCUCACAAACAAACUGAGCCACAACAGUCAGACAAAGCAAGAAGAUCAGGGAAUAAGACG